Molecule: ribosomal RNA, 253 nt
Filed under: uncultured bacterium
Lineage: Bacteria
Description: partial 16S ribosomal RNA
Rfam family: Bacterial small subunit ribosomal RNA
Source: RNAcentral
UACGGGGGGGGCAAGCGUUGUUCGGAAUUACUGGGCGUAAAGGGCUCGUAGGCGGCCAACUAAGUCGGAUGUGAAAUCCCCAGGCUCAACCUGGGAACUGCAUCCGAUACUGGAUGGCUUGAAUUCGGGAGAGGGAUGCAGAAUUCCAGGUGUAGCGGUGAAAUGCGUAGAUAUCAGGAGGAACACCGGUGGCGAAGGCGGGUCUCUGGGCAGUAACUGACGCUGAGGAGCGAAAGCGUGGGGAGCGAACAGG